AGAACCCAUUUUAGUUCUGUCUUUCAGCCUAGCACACUCCACAUUCUCAGACAUCGCUUCUUGAGAGUGUACUAACCAUCAACUAUCAUUUCACAAUGGAGAAGGGUAGGCUGGAACUUGGAUGUGCAUUGGCAGGUCUGCAUUGGCAGACCAGAUGUCACCAUACAGACAACAAUAUCCUACAGGACAGAAAAGCUUGAAAGUAAAAGAAACUUUGGUGUUUGAAUAAACCACACAUUUGUCCUGGACAACCUGCCUAUCGUUGAACUGUUACAUGAGAGAAAAAGAGAUUUCUCUCUUAUUUGAACAAUUGCAUUUUCAAGUCUUUUUGUUACAGCAGCAUAACUGAUACCCUAACCCUGACAAAUACAUUUUUAAACAAAAGGAGGAAUGCUACUAUCGUACUCUAUGCUGGUCCAGUCUUACUUGGGGUGCAGUAUUCUCAUCUGUGAAUCACAUUUCAAGGGGCCUAAAGACAAAGUAGAAGUGUUCAGAUAACAGCAACAUGAUUGGUGAGAAAUUCAAAGUUGAAGAAACUGGAAGAGCAGAUUUAGAGUAAGUAGGAGUGCCACUUUCAAAUGUCUGAGGAACUGGCCUGUGAAAGAAUGAUUCACUUUGUUCUGUGUAGUUUCAGUAGAUAGAAGUAUGGUUCAACGGGAAAACUGAUUUUGCUGAAGAGAAAGAUUUCUGGCUGUCAGGUCUGCAUAGACAUUGGAGGCACUGAGUUCCCUGCUCAUGGAGAUAUUUUUCACAGAGCCUGGAUAAUCAUUUGGCUGGAUUUGUAACAACUGUGUAUCAUACAGCAUGAAAAUGCAUUUUCUAGCUUCCCUUGAAGUGAAAUGUGAGCAAAAAUGAUGCCAGCCACUCCCAGACCGGCCCAUAGAAACCUCCCAUAUUCUUUCUUCUUCUGCUGCUGGAUAUUGACACAGGGGAUGACUUUGAAAGCUGAGUAUUGAAGAUGGCAGAAGCUGUCUUUCAGCCUUGGUCCCUGAACAACAUGUUGAGCAGAUCCCGUGGUAAUCUGGAACUGCCCUGGACUGUGUAAAGGAAUCAACUUCUUUAUACAACAAUGGCAGAGAAGUUCUACAAUAUGGAGUCCUGUGAUAAAAGGUCCAGCUGACUGACCCACCAGCUGGUGACCAGCAGAGCAGAGGAGGAGCAAGCACAGGACCUUCACCUUUCCUGCCAGGUGUGGGCGCCAGUCAAGCAGAUCAUUCUCCAUAAUGUGGGUGUCCUCAUCCAAUCAGUUGAAAGCCUGAAAAGAACAAAAAGCAGAUCUUUCUUGAGCAAGAAGGAUUCUCCAACAGACUGCCUUCAGACUUCAUCUGCAGCAUCGGCUCUUCCUGGUUCUGCAGUAAACUGUUCCUGGACUUGACUACAGCUCUUUCUCGAGUCUCCAGCCUGCUGGCUUCGUCUAUGAGAUUUUGUACUCACCAGGCAUCCACAAGCACAUGAGCCAAU
RNAcentral lists this long non-coding RNA (1461 nucleotides) under Homo sapiens (human). RNAcentral describes it as "HSALNT0071293". Lineage: Eukaryota; Metazoa; Chordata; Mammalia; Primates; Hominidae. The record is from RNAcentral.